This 497-nucleotide ribosomal RNA is filed under the name uncultured bacterium. RNAcentral's name for it is "partial 16S ribosomal RNA". It matches the Rfam family "Bacterial small subunit ribosomal RNA", at positions 28 to 507 of the family's 1533-position model. The record is from RNAcentral.
GAUGAACGCUGGCGGCGUGCCUAAUACAUGCAAGUCGAGCGAACAGACGAGGAGCUUGCUCCUCUGACGUUAGCGGCGGACGGGUGAGUAACACGUGGAUAACUUACCUAUAAGACUGGGAUAACUUCGGGAAACCGGAGCUAAUACCGGAUAAUAUAUUGAACCGCAUGGUUCAAUAGUCAAAGACGGUUUUGCUGUCACUUAUAGAUGGAUCCGCGCCGCAUUAGCUAGUUGGUAAGGUAACGGCUUACCAAGGCAACGAUGCGUAGCCGACCUGAGAGGGUGAUCGGCCACACUGGAACUGAGACACGGUCCAGACUCCUACGGGAGGCAGCAGUAGGGAAUCUUCCGCAAUGGGCGAAAGCCUGACGGAGCAACGCCGCGUGAGUGAUGAAGGUCUUCGGAUCGUAAAACUCUGUUAUUAGGGAAGAACAAAUGUGUAAGUAACUAUGCACGUCUUGACGGUACCUAAUCAGAAAGCCACGGCUAACUACGUG